GACGAACGCUGGCGGCGUGCUUAACACAUGCAAGUCGAACGGAAAGGCCCUGCUUGUGUGGGGUGCUCGAGUGGCGAACGGGUGAGUAACACGUGAGUAACCUGCCCUUGACUUUGGGAUAACUUUAGGAAACUGGGGCUAAUACCGGAUAGGAGCUCCUGCUGCAUGGUGGGGGUUGGAAAGUUUCGGCGGUUGGGGAUGGACGCGCGGCUUAUCAGCUUGUUGGUGGGGUAGUGGCUUACCAAGGCUUUGACGGGUAGCCGGCCUGAGAGGGUGACCGGCCACAUUGGGACUGCGAUACGGCCCAGACUCCUACGGGAGGCAGCAGUGGGGAAUAUUGCACAAUGGGCGGAAGCCUGAUGCAGCAACGCCGCGUGCGGGAUGACGGCCUUCGGGUUGUAAACCGCUUUCGCCUGUGACGAAGCGUGAGUGACGGUAAUGGGUAAAGAAGCACCGGCUAACUACGUG
RNAcentral lists this ribosomal RNA (468 nucleotides) under uncultured bacterium. Its description in RNAcentral is "partial 16S ribosomal RNA". It matches the Rfam family "Bacterial small subunit ribosomal RNA", at positions 28 to 507 of the family's 1533-position model. The record is from RNAcentral.